This 445-nucleotide ribosomal RNA is filed under the name uncultured bacterium. RNAcentral's name for it is "bacterial SSU rRNA". It matches the Rfam family "Bacterial small subunit ribosomal RNA", at positions 217 to 662 of the family's 1533-position model. The record is from RNAcentral.
GGUAUGGGAUGAGCUUGCGUCCGAUUAGCUAGUUGGCGGGGCAACGGCCCACCAAGGCGACGAUCGGUAGCCGGCCUGAGAGGGUGAUCGGCCACAUUGGGACUGAGAUACGGCCCAGACUCCUACGGGAGGCAGCAGUAGGGAAUAUUGCACAAUGGGGGAAACCCUGAUGCAGCAACGCCACGUGUGGGAAGAAGCAUUUCGGUGUGUAAACCACUGUCGUGAGGGAAUAAGGCAUUGUUUCGGCGAUGUUGAAUGUACCUCGAGAGGAAGCACCGGCAAACUUCGUGCCAGCAGCCGCGGUAAUACGAGGGGUGCAAGCGUUGUUCGGAAUCACUGGGCGUAAAGGGAGCGUAGGCGGAGAUGCAAGCGGACUGUACAAUACCGGGGCCCAACCCCGGACCUGCAGUUCGGACUGCACCUCUUGGAUAGUUCAGGGGCAGGC